Molecule: unclassified non-coding RNA, 377 nt
Filed under: fungal sp.
Lineage: Eukaryota; Fungi
Description: partial internal transcribed spacer region
Rfam family: Eukaryotic small subunit ribosomal RNA (bases 1-46)
Source: RNAcentral
AAGUCGUAACAAGGUUUCCGUAGGUGAACCUGCGGAAGGAUCAUUAACACUCCAAAACUUUUUCUCAUAGCUCUGGGAAACCAGAGUUUAUGAAACCCUAUUCACUACUGCGAACCCGGCCAGAUGGAAGGAGGGGUGGUUCUUUUCCCUGGUGGAACAAAAACCACAAAACACCUCAUCCAUCUAGCUACCUUUUUUUUUCUUUUGUCCAAUUUUUCCUUUUUAAACCCCAAUCAUUAUUAUCUUUUUUCGGUCUGACUGGAAGACUCUCUCGGGUCUUCCGUUGCUCUUCUACUCUAACCAGUGAAGGCAAUGAAAACUGCUAUUUUAAAAAAACAAAAAAAAAACAACUCUUAGCAACGGAUAUCUUGGUUCUC